UAAUUGAAAAGAGCAUUUGGUGGAUGCCUUGGCAUCAACAAUCGAUGAAGGACGUGGAAGACUGCGUUAUGCCUCGGGGAGUAGUCAAUCAUGCAUUGAUCCGGGGAUGUCCGAAUGAGGGAACUCAUACAGAGAAACUCUGUAUAUCCUUGUCUGAAUAUAUAGGGCAAGGAGGGUAACGGCCUGAACUGAAACAUCUAAGUAGGGCUAGGAAAAGAAAACGAAUGUGAUUCCCUGAGUAGUGGUGAGCGAAACGGGAGAAGCUAAAAACGUAUGUCAUGUAAGAGGCCACUCGUUGUGGCAUACGGGAAGCGGGAUACUGCUGCGUUAUGGUGGCUCAUAACGGUCAUGAGUGUACAGAGAGAUGAACGGUGUUGGAACGCACGGCCAUAGAAGGUGAGAGCCCUGUAAACGAAAGCUGGAACACAGUGGUUGCAGUACACCCAAGUACCAUGGAGCACGUGAAAUUCUGUGGGAAUCUGCCCCGACCAUGGGGUAAAGCUAAAUAUGUGUUGAUGACCGAUAGUGUACGAGUACCGUGAGGGAAAGGUGAAAAGAACCCCGGGAGGGGAGUGAAAUAGAAUCUGAAACCAAAUGUUUAUAAUCGGUAGAAGCGGUGUAUACGAACACGCGACUACGUACCUUUUGCAUAAUGAGCCAACGAGUUGCUCCUACAUUGCAAGGUUAAGUUUUGAAAGAACGGAGCCGGAGCGAAAGCGAGUCUGAUAAGGGCGUCUAGUAAUGUGGGGCAGACCCGAAACCUAGUGAUCUAUCCAUGAGCAGGGUGAAGUGCRAGUAAAAUUGCAUGGAGGCCCGAACCGGUGUGGGUUGAAAACUGCUCGGAUGACUUGUGGAUAGGAGUGAAAGGCUAAUCAAACUAGGAGAUAGCUGGUUCUCUUCGAAAUAUAUUUACGUAUAGCCUUGUUGGGUARCAUGUGGCGGUAAAGCACAGYUUGGGCUAGGGGUCGCGAGAUUACCAAACCYUURCUAACUCGGAAUGUUACAUGYGURAACGACAGGAGUCGGACUGCGGGGGAUAAGCUUCGUGGUCGAGAGGGAAAGAGCCCAGAUCGCCGUAUAAGGUCCCUAAGUGUUUGCUAAGUGGGAAAAGAAGUGAAAAUACACAGACAGCCAGGRGGUUGGCUUAGAAGCAGCCAUCCUUUAAAGAAAGCGUAAUAGCUCACUGGUCAAGUGUUUUUGCGCUGAAAUAUAAACGGGGCUAAGCARRYCACCGAAGACGCGGAUUCUCUAGAAAUAGGGAGUGGUAGAAGAGCGUUCUUAAGGAGCGAGCGUCACUGUAAAGAGACGUUAUGGCCUUAAGAAGUGAAUAUGUUGGUAUAAGUAACGAAAAAACAGGUGAGAUUCCUGUUCGCCGUAAACCUAAGGGUUCCGUGAGAGAGGUUUAUCCACUCAGGGUUAGUCGAURCCUAAGCCGAGGCCAAKUGGAGUAGGCGAUGGRAAACAGGUUAAAUAUUCCUGUACCRCUGUAUGCGUUUGAGYGAUGGAGUGACGCAGUAAGAUAUGCUAAUUUGGAAAAUGGAUUGCCAGACUAAGCGUUCAGGGAAUCUACCAUGGAAAAUCCGGGUAGGUAUAUCCUCAGGCGUGAUGGGCGUAUCAAUCCACAAGAAAGAUACGUUUAGCAGAGUCUACACUGACUAGAAAACCUUCUAGCGAGCAAAUCAGUGAUCGUACCGUAAACCGACACAGGURGKUGRGWWGAGWAUWCUCAGGCGUUGAGAUAACUUUCAUUAAGGAACUCGGCAAAAUAAUCUCGUAACUUCGGGAAAAGAGAUGCCACUACCCGUUAUUACGUUUCGAUGUAAGAAGCGGAUUGUGGCUGCAACAAAGAGGCCCAAGCGACUGUUUAACAAAAACACAGGGCCAUGCGAACUCGUAAGAGGAAGUAUAUGGUCUGACGCCUGCCCAGUGCUGGAAGGUUAACAGGAGAGGUCAACCGUAAGGUGAAGCUUUGAAUCGAAGCCCCAGUAAACGGCGGCCGUAACUAUAACGGUCCUAAGGUAGCGAAGUCCCUUGUCGGGUAAAUUCCGACCCGCAUGAAUGGCGUAACGACUUGGGCGCUGUCUUGAUGAAAGACUCAGUGAAUUUGUAGUGACGGUGAAAAUGCCGUCUACCCGCGAUAGGACGGAAAGACCCCGUGCACCUUUACUAUAACUUGACAUGGAUAUUUGGAUCUAUAUGUGUAGGAUAGGCGGGAGACUUUGAAGUAAUGGCGCUAGCUGUUAUGGAGUCAUCCUUGAAAUACCGCCCUUAUAAAUUUGGAUAUCUAACCUUAAACCGUGAUCCGGUUGAGAGACAGUGUCUGGUGGGUAGUUUGACUGGGGUGGUCGCCUCCUAAAAUGUAACGGAGGCGUUCAAAGGUUCCUUCAUGGCGUAUAGAAAUCGCCAUAACGAGCGCAAAAGUAUAAGGGAGCUUGACUGCAAGGCAUACAGGCCGAGCAGGUGCGAAAGCAGGAUUUAGUGAUCCAGUAGCUCUGAAUGGAAAGGCUAUUGCUAAACGGAUAAAAGGUACGCCGGGGAUAACAGGCUUAUCUCCUCCAAGAGUCCAUAUCGACGAGGAGGUUUGGCACCUCGAUGUCGGCUCAUCGCAUCCUGGGGCUGGAGAAGGUCCCAAGGGUUUGGCUGUUCGCCAAUUAAAGCGGUACGCGAGCUGGGUUCAGAACGUCGUAAGACAGUUCGGUUCUUAUCCAUCGUGGGCGUAGGGUAUUUGAGAGGACCUGUCCCUAGUACGAGAGGACCGGGAUGGACGAACCUCUGGUCUGCCAGUUGUCUACCAAAGGCAAAGCUGGGUAGCUAAGUUCGGACGAGAUAACCGCUGAAAGCAUCUAAGUGGGAAACUUACCUCAAGAUGAGAUACCCCGUAUGGGAGCAAUCCCAUACUUAAGAUCCCUUGAAGACUACAAGGUUGAUAGGCUGGGUGUGUAAACGUAGCAAUAUGUGUAGCUAACCAGUACUAAUAGAUCGAGAGUUUUAUUCGCA
RNAcentral lists this ribosomal RNA (2997 nucleotides) under Candidatus Babelota bacterium. RNAcentral describes it as "bacterial LSU rRNA". It matches the Rfam family "Bacterial large subunit ribosomal RNA". The record is from RNAcentral.